This 253-nucleotide ribosomal RNA is filed under the name uncultured bacterium. Its description in RNAcentral is "partial 16S ribosomal RNA". It matches the Rfam family "Bacterial small subunit ribosomal RNA", at positions 524 to 776 of the family's 1533-position model. The record is from RNAcentral.
UACGAAGGGGACUAGCGUUGUUCGGAAUCACUGGGCGUAAAGCGCACGUAGGCGGAUUCGUAAGUCAGGGGUGAAAUCCCGGGGCUCAACCUCGGAACUGCCUUUGAUACUGCGAAUCUCGAGUCCGGAAGAGGUGAGUGGAAUUCCUAGUGUAGAGGUGAAAUUCGUAGAUAUUAGGAAGAACACCAGUGGCGAAGGCGGCUCACUGGUCCGGUACUGACGCUGAGGUGCGAAAGCGUGGGGAGCAAACAGG